This is a long non-coding RNA of Carassius carassius (crucian carp), 399 nucleotides long. RefSeq lists it as uncharacterized. NCBI's taxonomy places the organism in Eukaryota, Metazoa, Chordata, Actinopteri, Cypriniformes, Cyprinidae. The record is from RefSeq and is a predicted model, not a curated record. The transcript has 2 exons.
AGGGGUGGCAUCGCCUUUCCUCUCCUGCUCAAUAGCUGAAAACAGAAAGAGAUGAAAUAUAAAUGCUUUUGAAGAAUAAAUGCCUUUAUUGUGCCAGUAAAGCUUCUUAAGAGACAGAGAGAGAGAGUGCGCGAGAGAGAGAUGUGUUUGAUGGAUGAGGGAUGGCAUUAUUGCAAACAUGCUAAUUCACAUGGGGAAUUCUGCAAGCAGGCUUAGGUGUGCACUGCAAUGCUGAUAGAGGACUUUGAGCUGACACCCAUCUGCUGACAUAAGAGGCUGAAAAAAGACUUGGGUAGACUGAGAAGAAAGAAAUGGCUGAAACAAAACAAUAAAUAAAGAGAGAAGGUAGACAGAUCACUGCAGAGAAGAGAAGGGCAGAUGGGGGAGAAAAGAGAGAGA